RNAcentral lists this ribosomal RNA (436 nucleotides) under uncultured archaeon. Its description in RNAcentral is "bacterial SSU rRNA". It matches the Rfam family "Archaeal small subunit ribosomal RNA", at positions 19 to 460 of the family's 1478-position model. The record is from RNAcentral.
GGACCUGACUGCUAUCGGAUUGAUACUAAGCCAUGCGAGUCAUUGUAGCAAUACAAGGCAGACGGCUCAGUAACGCGUAGUCAACCUACCCUAUGGACGGGAAUAACCUCGGGAAACUGAGUAUAAUGCCCGAUAGAACAUUAUGCCUGGAAUGGUUUAUGUUCCAAAUGAUUUAUCGCCGUAGGAUGGGACUGCGGCCUAUCAGUUUGUUGGUGAGGUAAUGGCCCACCAAGACUAUUACAGGUACGGGCUCUGAGAGGAGUGGCCCGGAGAUGGGUACUGAGACACGGACCCAGGCCCUAUGGGGCGCAGCAGGCGAGAAAACUUUGCAAUGUGCGAAAGCACGACAAGGUUAAUCCGAGUGGUUUCUGCUAAAGGAACCUUUUGUCAGUCCUAGAAACACUGAUGAAUAAGGGGUGGGCAAGUUCUGGUGUCA